This 492-nucleotide ribosomal RNA is filed under the name uncultured bacterium. RNAcentral describes it as "partial 16S ribosomal RNA". It matches the Rfam family "Bacterial small subunit ribosomal RNA", at positions 29 to 507 of the family's 1533-position model. The record is from RNAcentral.
AGUGAACGCUGGCGGUAGGCCUAACACAUGCGAGUCGAACGGCAGCACAGUAAGAGCUUGCUCUUACGGGUGGCGAGUGGCGGACGGGUGAGGAAUACAUCGGAAUCUACUUUUUCGUGGGGGAUAACGUAGGGAAACUCACGCUAAUACCGCAUACGACCUACGGGUGAAAGCAGGGGAUCUUCGGACCUUGCGCGAUUGAAUGAGCCGAUGUCGGAUUAGCUAGUUGGCGGGGUAAAGGCCCACCAAGGCGACGAUCCGUAGCUGGUCUGAGAGGAUGAUCAGCCACACUGGAACUGAGACACGGUCCAGACUCCUACGGGAGGCAGCAGUGGGGAAUAUUGGACAAUGGGCGCAAGCCUGAUCCAGCCAUACCGCGUGGGUGAAGAAGGCCUUCGGGUUGUAAAGCCCCUUUGUUGGGAAAGAAAAGCAGCAGGUUAAUACCCCGCUGUUCUGACGGUACCCAAAGAAUAAGCACCGGCUAACUUCGUG